GGUUGCAGAAUUCCGCGAAUCAUCGAGUUUUUGAACGCAAGUUGCGCCCGAGGCUCGUCCCGAGGGCAUGCCCGCCUGAGCGUCCG
RNAcentral lists this ribosomal RNA (86 nucleotides) under Thysananthus ligulatus. RNAcentral's name for it is "Mastigolejeunea ligulata 5.8 ribosomal RNA". It matches the Rfam family "5.8S ribosomal RNA", at positions 70 to 154 of the family's 154-position model. From Rfam's summary of the family: 5.8S ribosomal RNA (5.8S rRNA) is a component of the large subunit of the eukaryotic ribosome. It is transcribed by RNA polymerase I as part of the 45S precursor that also contains 18S and 28S rRNA. Lineage: Eukaryota; Viridiplantae; Streptophyta; Jungermanniopsida; Porellales; Lejeuneaceae. The record is from RNAcentral. RNAcentral also lists the same sequence under 1 other name.